RNAcentral lists this ribosomal RNA (235 nucleotides) under uncultured bacterium. RNAcentral describes it as "partial 16S ribosomal RNA". It matches the Rfam family "Bacterial small subunit ribosomal RNA", at positions 96 to 334 of the family's 1533-position model. The record is from RNAcentral.
UGGCGGACGGGUGAGUAAUGUCUGGGAAACUGCCUGAUGGAGGGGGAUAACUACUGGAAACGGUAGCUAAUACCGCAUAACGUCGCAAGACCAAAGAGGGGGACCUUCGGGCCUCUUGCCAUCGGAUGUGCCCAGAUGGGAUUAGCUAGUAGGUGGGGUAACGGCUCACCUAGGCGACGAGCCCUAGCUGGUCUGAGAGGAUGACCAGCCACACUGGAACUGAGACACGGUCCAG